Molecule: ribosomal RNA, 493 nt
Filed under: Simulium teruamanga
Lineage: Eukaryota; Metazoa; Arthropoda; Insecta; Diptera; Simuliidae
Description: partial 12S ribosomal RNA
Source: RNAcentral
CAGCAACCGCGGUUAUACAAAUAAUACAAAUAAAAUUUAUUAAUAAUAGUUAAUUUGUUUUAUUAAAAUUUAUUUUAAAUUUUUUAAGUGAAAUUUUAAAUUUAAUUAAUUUAAAAUUAAUGAGGCUAGUAAAUUUUAAUAAUAAACUAGGAUUAGAUACCCUAUUAUUUAAAAAGUAUUUUUUUUUUAUUUGAGUAGUAAUAGUUAUGUUCUUAAAACUUAAAAAAUUUGGCGGUGUUUUAGUCUAUUUAGAGGAACCUGUCCUGUAAUCGAUAAUCCACGUUGGACCUUACUAAUCUUUGUUUUCAACUUGUAUAUCGCCGUUAUCAGAAUAUCUUAAAAGAGAAAAAAUUUUCUUAAGUUAUUAAUAAAAAUGAUGUCAGGUCAAGGUGCAGUUUAUAUUUUAGAAGAGAUGGGUUACAAUAAAAUUAUUUACACGAAAAAUUUAUUGAAAAAUAAAUUUAAAGGUGGAUUUAAAAGUAAAAUACUAAAU